Molecule: non-coding RNA, 74 nt
Organism: Hippopotamus amphibius kiboko
Lineage: Eukaryota; Metazoa; Chordata; Mammalia; Artiodactyla; Hippopotamidae
Source: the annotation of a RefSeq genome assembly
UCCCCUGUGGUCCAGUGGUCAGGACUUGAGCACUCUCACUGCCAAGGGCCUAGGUUUAAUUCCUGGUAGGGGAA